Molecule: ribosomal RNA, 735 nt
Filed under: uncultured Fusobacterium sp.
Lineage: Bacteria; Fusobacteriati; Fusobacteriota; Fusobacteriia; Fusobacteriales; Fusobacteriaceae
Description: bacterial SSU rRNA
Rfam family: Bacterial small subunit ribosomal RNA
Source: RNAcentral
GAUGAACGCUGACAGAAUGCUUAACACAUGCAAGUCAACUUGAAUUUGGGUUUUUAACUUAGGUUUGGGUGGCGGACGGGUGAGUAACGCGUAAAGAACUUGCCUCACAGCUAGGGACAACAUUUGGAAACGAAUGCUAAUACCUAAUAUUAUGAUAAUAGGGCAUCCUAUAAUUAUGAAAGCUAUAAGCGCUGUGAGAGAGCUUUGCGUCCCAUUAGCUAGUUGGAGAGGUAACGGCUCACCAAGGCGAUGAUGGGUAGCCGGCCUGAGAGGGUGAUCGGCCACAAGGGGACUGAGACACGGCCCUUACUCCUACGGGAGGCAGCAGUGGGGAAUAUUGGACAAUGGACCAAGAGUCUGAUCCAGCAAUUCUGUGUGCACGAUGAAGUUUUUCGGAAUGUAAAGUGCUUUCAGUUGGGAAGAAAGAAAUGACGGUACCAACAGAAGAAGUGACGGCUAAAUACGUGCCAGCAGCCGCGGUAAUACGUAUGUCACGAGCGUUAUCCGGAUUUAUUGGGCGUAAAGCGCGUCUAGGUGGUUAUGUAAGUCUGAUGUGAAAAUGCAGGGCUCAACUCUGUAUUGCGUUGGAAACUGUAUAACUAGAGUACUGGAGAGGUAAGCGGAACUACAAGUGUAGAGGUGAAAUUCGUAGAUAUUUGUAGGAAUGCCGAUGGGGAAGCCAGCUUACCGGACAGAUACUGACGCUGAAGCGCGAAAGCGUGGGUAGCAAACAGG